This 406-nucleotide ribosomal RNA is filed under the name uncultured bacterium. RNAcentral's name for it is "partial 16S ribosomal RNA". It matches the Rfam family "Bacterial small subunit ribosomal RNA", at positions 30 to 526 of the family's 1533-position model. The record is from RNAcentral.
AUUGAACGCUGGCGGCAGGCCUAACACAUGCAAGUCGAACGAGUGGCGGACGGGUGAGUAAGGUCUGGGAAACUGCCCGCUGGAGGGGGAUAACGACUGGAAAAGGUAGCUAAUAACGCAUACCAUCGGAUGUGCCCAGAGGGGAUUAGCUAGUAGGUGGGGUAACGGAUCACCACGGCGACGAUCCCUAGCUGGUCGGAUAGGAUGACCAGCCACACUGGAACUGAGACACGGUCCAGCCUCCUACGGGAGGCAGCAGUGGGGAAUAUUGCACAAUGGUCGCAAGCCUGAUGCAGCAAUGCCGCGUGUGUGAAGAAGGCCUUCGGGUUGUAAAGUACUUUCAGCGAGGAGGCGUUACUCGCAGAAGAAGCACCGGCUAACUCCGUGCCAGCAGCCGCGGUAAUAC